CGGUAGCUAUGUUCGGAAUCGAUAACCGCUGAAAGCAUCUAAGCGGGAAGCGAGCCCCAAGAUGAGUCAUCCCUUGGACUAUAAGUCCACUAAAGAGCCGUUCGAGACUAGGACGUUGAUAGGUCAGGUGUGUAAGCGUUGUGAGGCGUUGAGCUAACUGAUACUAAUGACUCGAGAGGCUUAACCAUACAACCCAGAUGGGUUUUG
This 207-nucleotide ribosomal RNA is filed under the name Shewanella xiamenensis. RNAcentral's name for it is "partial 23S ribosomal RNA". It matches the Rfam family "Bacterial large subunit ribosomal RNA", at positions 2743 to 2925 of the family's 2925-position model. The record is from RNAcentral. Lineage: Bacteria; Pseudomonadati; Pseudomonadota; Gammaproteobacteria; Alteromonadales; Shewanellaceae.